GACUCAAGCGUUCGGAGAAGGCGUCACAAAGAAAGCAGGACUUCAAUCAGGCUUCAGAGGUGGAACUGAUUCCAAUCAGCACAAAAGGAGGAAAGAGAAAGAGCAGAACAAAGGCAAGGGUGCAGAAGUGAGAAUCAGCGUGCCAGGAUGACGGGCACACAGGAGAGCACGCUGGAUGAAUCGUAGGAUUCAUUUAUUCAGAGCAGAAAGGGGCAGGGGACCGAAAAAGGUAGGUUUGCAUGGGAUUGGGGGAAGAUUUCAACUAUACCCAAGGAAUUCCAAAUCAGUCUUGUAGGACAUAGGAGCCACCAGAGGCCGAGUGCAGGAGAGAUGAAAGUGGUCAUUUCAGUAGAGGACACACUGGACAAGAGCAGAUACAAAAUGAGAGCUUUCCCAUCAGAUGGCUUUCGGGAGACCAGCGUCCGCGACUUCCAUGCUAACCGUGAGGUUGGGGGCUUGAACCUUAACACUAUGCUCCUGUUGAGGCCCCUAGCCCUGAAUUUAGGCUGGCCCUGAGACUUGCUUUAACCAACAUAAUGUGUCAGAAGUAAUGUUGUGCUGGUUCCAGGCCGAAGUCUUAAGAAGAUCCGUUACCCUACUGGAGGGAUUAUGUGGAGAGACCACGCGGAGAAAGAGAAGCCCUGAAAUGAUAAAGAAACAGAGAAAGGCCCAGUGUCCCAGGAUCCCGGGGUCCCCACCUGAGCUCAGCCCCGGCCCACUCUCCAGCUGAAUGAAGCUUCCUGAGUAACCACCACCGACCAGACAAGCCGAAGAACUGCCGGGCCAAGCCCAGCUCAGAUUCCAGAAUCAUUAACAAAUAAAAGAGUCGCUGUUGCUGCUUUAAGUCA
Canis lupus familiaris (dog) is the source of this 848-nucleotide long non-coding RNA. RefSeq lists it as uncharacterized. The transcript has 2 exons. The record is from RefSeq and is a predicted model, not a curated record. Lineage: Eukaryota; Metazoa; Chordata; Mammalia; Carnivora; Canidae.